GGAAAAGAUACGAGUGCUCCUGUGAUUCUUUCUCUGAGACUCUACCUUUAUUUUUACAGCAGUUGGAGCCACCAACGAUGCGACGCAGUUCAUCCAUCGCCUAUGACAAAGUUGUGCUCAGUUAGUCAUGAACUCAACCUACCCAGAGAAAAGCAAGGGAUUUAAGUGAAGCUGAGGUGAGGAAAACUCUACGCAGAGUCAACCCACGUAAAGCUGCUGGACCAGACAACAUCCCAGGCAGAGUGCUCAGAGAAUGUGCUGAACAGCUGGCAGAUGUUCUCACCGACAUCUUCAACAUCUCUCUGAGCAGUGCCGUCGUUCCCACGUGCUUCAAGGCCACCACCAUCGUCCCCGUGCCCAAGAAGUCUUCUGUGUCCUGUCUCAACGACUACCGUCCUGUUGCACUUACACCCACCAUCAUGAAGUGGGUGGCAGUAUGUGGCAGGGACCCGUAUGAAACACGGCCGUGGAGUAGAAACCCUGAAGACCAACCGCUAUAGCCUGACAUAUUUUCGUACCUUAUCUGUGGAGUCAGCGCGUACAAGUCGUCAUUCAAACAAAGGUUCAUUUUCUGCAGGCAGGUUUCUGACAGAAAACAGGCAGAUUUACCCUAUAACAUGCAGCGUUCUAUUGAUGGACACAUAAAGAAAUGAAAAAUUACACGUACUGCACUCUCAAAGACUGAAUGAACCAGCAUUACAGCCAUGGGUCACUGUGAGCAUCACAGGGAAGGUUGAAGCCGCCCACUGCACCUGUAUGGCCGGAGUCGUGGAGACCUGCACCCAUGUCGCUGCUCUUCUGUUUAAUAUAGAAGCAACAGUGCAGAUCUGUGGCACAAGGCCUGUUACAGAUGAACCUGCAUACUGGGUUUUACUGGGUUAUGUGACCAAGAUACAGUCAGUGGUUGGCCAUAAGAUAGACUUCUCCUCUUCAGCUGCCCAAAAAAAGGCUCUUGAUCAAAACAUAAACAGACCAUCCGUAUUGAAAGGUAAAAGGAGCUGUCCUCAAAAAAGAAACAUCCCACCUGCUACUGUGGAGGAGUUGUCACUGCUAUAAUGCCAUAAUGUUUUAUAUAGGGGUCUAGAUUUAUGCCUGAAGUGCACUGC
Molecule: long non-coding RNA, 1106 nt
Organism: Oreochromis aureus
Lineage: Eukaryota; Metazoa; Chordata; Actinopteri; Cichliformes; Cichlidae
Source: Ensembl